This 267-nucleotide ribosomal RNA is filed under the name uncultured bacterium. RNAcentral describes it as "partial 16S ribosomal RNA". It matches the Rfam family "Bacterial small subunit ribosomal RNA", at positions 793 to 1055 of the family's 1533-position model. The record is from RNAcentral.
GUCCCGGCCCUAAACGGUGCGCAUUUGCUGUGAGCGGAAUCGACCCCGCUCGUGGCGGAGCUAACGCGUUAAAUGCGCCGCCUGGGGAGUACGGCCGCAAGGUUAAAACUCAAAGAAAUUGACGGGGGCCUGCACAAGCGGUGGAGUAUGUGGCUUAAUUCGAUGCAACGCGAAGAACCUUACCUGGCCUUGACAUGCAAGUGGUAGAAGCCUGAAAGGGUAACGAUCCCGCAAGGGAAGCUUGCACAGGUGCUGCAUGGCUGUCGU